GAAAGGGAAACGAUUGAAGUCAGUCGUACCUGCGGGUAAUCAGCCUUUUGGGCAUGAUUCUGUGGAGCGUGAGGAGUUAAACGCCUUCAUGCCUGCAUAUUCGUGUACUUUGGGUGUACUUGCCUGUGUGGUUAGUUAACAUCAAUUUUGGUUAUCAUAAAAUGGCUGGAGGAAUGUAGCUUCGAUUUCGAUUGAAGUGUUAUAGCCUUCGGCAGAUGUGAUGAUCGGGAUUGAGGAUUGCAACGGAUACCCUUCGGGGCUACCUGUCUGAUCUCUGAUCGUUGCUCUGGUGCCGAAAGCGUGCUUACGGUUAUCAAAGUCGAUGGUCAACAGGUUAGAACGGGUUAAAUUCGUUAAGGAUGUUGACGUA
This 370-nucleotide ribosomal RNA is filed under the name uncultured Glomeromycotina. Its description in RNAcentral is "eukaryotic LSU rRNA". Lineage: Eukaryota; Fungi; Glomeromycota. The record is from RNAcentral.